Long non-coding RNA from Homo sapiens (human), 731 nucleotides. Ensembl annotates it as small nucleolar RNA host gene 20. Its record names the gene SNHG20. The record is from Ensembl. Lineage: Eukaryota; Metazoa; Chordata; Mammalia; Primates; Hominidae.
GGGAGUGGGAAGUAAGUGGAGACACGUGCUUUGGCCUGUUGGAGGGGAAACCCGCUCUCGCCUCCUGGUGGUCGCCGACUCGCAGUCCGCAGGAUGACUCAGGGCAGCCCUGACCACAGUUCCGCCGCCAUCGGCCCUAGCCUGCGGAAUUGGGCUCGCCCCGGGACGAUAACAGAGCUCUGCCGGGGGCUGGAGGCACUGACCGGGUGACCAGAGACCCAGAGACCAGACCCCCUCCACGGCGCCCGGGAUUUCGGGGACGGCUUCUCCCAUCGCAAGUUUCAACAGAAAAUGAGAAAUAUCCCCCGACGAUUGGCUGAAAACAUGCAGCAACCACUAUUUUCUUCCUGCCCCUCGUUGAUGAGAGCAUUCGAAGUGACCUCAGCAGGGCAUCCAGACCCCAAGACAAUGAAGAGCCUUCAUUGGCUGGGCAUGGUGGCUUGCGCCUGUAAUCCCAGCACUUUAGGAGGCCGAGGCGGGUGGUCAGGAGUUCGAAAGCAGCCUGACCAACAUGGUGAAACCCCAUCUCUACUAAAAAUACAAAAUUCAACCAGGUGUCGUGGCAGGCACCUGUAAUCCCAGCUGCUCGGGAGGCUGAGGCAUGAGAAUCAGUUGAACCCAGGAGACAGAGGUUUCGGUGAGCCAAGGUCACACCACUGCACUCCAGCCUAGAAGACAGAGCAAGACUUUGUCUCAAAAAAAAAAAAUUAACUAAUUACUGAAAUAAAUAA